Callithrix jacchus (white-tufted-ear marmoset) is the source of this 3094-nucleotide long non-coding RNA. RefSeq lists it as uncharacterized. Lineage: Eukaryota; Metazoa; Chordata; Mammalia; Primates; Cebidae. The record is from RefSeq and is a predicted model, not a curated record.
CUUCCUUCUUACGUUCUCUUUUUACUCCUUUUGCCCUCUCUCCUUCCUUUGUUCCUUUUUCUUCCUCCUCGUUUCUUUGUUUUUCUUUAUUGUUUCCAAAUUUUGGAUAAUCCGCCAGUAUUGUAUUGAUGAAGAGGAAAAUGGAAAUUCUGAAGAAAGAAAUUACUUCCACCUGAGACGCUCAGACAGAGGAAAGGCUGUGUGUGAGGAAUGGCAUCCGAGAGGCUGGGUGAAGAGAUGCCACACCCGAGGAGGUGUGCAGGGACAGCAUUCCAGGAGCAGGAUGUCAGGUGCAGAGACAAUGUGCAGGCUCUCUGCAGAGCCCUCAGAGCAGUUCAGCUCCUGGAAGCAGAAGAUGCCAAGAGUGAAAUAAUGCAAACUAAGACGGAGUUUCGCUCUUGUUACCCAGGCUGGAGUGCAAAGGCGCGAUCUCGGCUCACCGCAACCUCCGCCUCCUGGGUUCAGCCAAUUCUCCUGCCUCAGCCUCCUGAGUAGCUGGGAUUACAGGAAGAUUGCAACCCCCAGUGUAACCUGUGUAUAUACCUGUCUUCACAGCUGGAAAGAACUUAAUGCAUCUGUGUAAAUUAAUUAAGAAUUGUAAAUCGCCAUGACAAAACCAUCAAUGAGGUUCUUUUGAUAAGAUCCACAUAUAUUUUCAAGGCCAUAUAUUGUUUUUCUCAUAAAUGUAAGCAUGCAAGCAUUUAAGAUGCAUUUUGGAAAAAGUCACACUUUCAUGAUUUAAAAAAACGAAUACAAACAAUGUAAGUUCAUCUUGAUGCAAGACACACCCACAAACACAUAUAUUUCACCAUUAACCAUCUUUACAUUAUACCAAUUGAAACAAAAAUCUAACACAAGGAGUUUUGAAAAUACUGUAGUAGUAAUUCAACAUCAGGAAGCUGGGAAUAUGGCAAUCCAAUCUGUAGCACAUCUGUCUGGGAUAAAAAAUGACCAGCCCACUAUUAGCUACCAUUUAUUGACCAUAUGCUCCAUACUAUACCCUUUACAUCUGUGAUCUCUUUUAAUCCUCAUGACACUCCUGAGAGGAAAACAGUGUUGUCCUCAAAUGCUGAGGCUUAGAGAAUCUCAAUGACUUGCUCAAUUUCACAUUCUAUUAAGGGGCAGACCCCAGGAAGGUCUGACUCCAGUGUUCUUGCUCUUCACAAUACAUUAAACUAGUGGUGAUGAGGAAAAUGCAAUUAGAUAAAUCAUUGAUUUGCUGAUUGCAUUUCUCUUGCAGAGGUAACUCAUUUCUUUCUUUUUUUUUGUAUUUUUUAGGUAAUAAGACUUGCUUUCCUUACUGAAAAUACCAUCUAUGAACAAAUGACAGAGUAGGCACAUUCCACAAAUAUACUUAAAUUUCAAAUAUUUUCAUUUUCUAAAGAGACCCAGGAUCAGUCAAUUAUUUAUUCCCUAUAUAAUAUUCUACUGAUAUCUAUAAUCAAGACAAUUAUUCAUUGCAUAUGUGAAAUUGUAUUGCUACAAAUAAUCAAGGCAGAGAAUUUUUGACACACUGAAAAGUGAUGAUAUUUUGCAAUAAGAAAAUUCUCUGGGGCCCUAUAGAACAUUCCCUAAUUGUUCCUCUUCUGUUUUAUUUAAAUUAUUCUACUUUAAAUUAUAAAGAGGAAUGUGAAUGUCAUUUCUGUUGUUGAUAAGUUUUGUGAUGACAAGCACUUGUCAUGUGACACCCAGAGAGGGGAGCAUGCAUGGGAAAAAUGUGCGAGAACCAGACAGGGUAGACACUAAGACUGAAGUAUGCCAGUCCUUAGAAUUGACAGCCAGCACAACAAACAAAAUCAAAGCAAAGGAAAACCAAAGAAGCAGGCAUCCCAUGAGGAAGACAACAGUCUUUCCUCUGAAACUGCCACGGUUUGGGGUUGAGUGAGGAAGUUAACUCUAGCGCAAGACCGAUAGAGAUGGCACAGCUGCCUCUGGUGGCCCAGAUGCUUCAGGACAGAAAGUAACUGCUGUGGAGAACGAGUGAUCUGUCUUCCUGAACAGACCAUGCAGACAGCUCAUGUCUGUGUGCUUCUCUUGUCUGGUUCUUAUAAUGCCCUCUGCUCACCACUCAAACUGUAGGGCACUCAGAAGCAUGUUGGCUUACUAUAUUCUUCUUCAACUUCCGUGGAGGACUUAAUGGCAGAGGGCAAAACUUUGCCUUCCAGAUCCCAGCACAUGCCAGUGAUUUCCAGUCUAAGCAAGCAUCCUCAGUAGGGGUGACUUCUCUGUCCAGGGUGUUAUCCUGUGGCCGGGCCCACCAUGGUCUGCUAGCUUGCUGCUGGCUGGUUCGUGUUCUUUCCUGGCCUACUACUCUGCUUCUGAGAAUAGCAACCUACCCAGCAAAGGCAGUUAUCCACCUGACUGCCAUUCAGGCCUUUCUACUUUAUUUACAAGGCUUUUCAUUUUUAACCUAAAGCAUUUUGUUCAUAAUGUAAGAAGCAGCACAGGGUAGUAAUGUGAUCUUGAAUUUUCUUUUUUUUUCUCUAAAUUUUCUUUUCUUUUAUCAUAUAUAUAUAUAUAUAUAUAUAUAUAUAAUUGCAUUUUAGGUUUUGGGGUACAUGUGAAGAACAUGCAAGAUUCUUGCAUAGGUUCAUACAUGGCAAUGUGGUUUGCUGCCUUCCUCCCCAUCACCUAUACUAUAUCUGGCAUUUUCCCCCCUGUUAUCCCUCCCCAACUCCCCACCCUGCACUGCCCCUCCCCUAGUUCCCCCACACAGACCCCAGUGUGUGAUGCUUCCCUCCCUGUGUCCAUGUGUUCUCAUUGUUCAACAACUGCUUAUGAGUGAGAACAUGCGAUGUUUGAUUUUCUGUCCUUUUCAAUAAAACAGACCUGGUUUGAAUUCUGGUUGGGCCCUUAUGCUGUGUAGGCUUAAAGAAAUGGCUUUCCUACUAACCUUCAGUUUCCUUCAAAUGGACGUAAUAUACCUUACAUAGGCUUAUUGAGAUAAAUAGAUGAAACAGAGAAGAUGAAAGCCUUGCGUUCAUUAUAGAAGCUCAUGAUAUGUUUCUAUCCUUCUCCUACCCCUUCAUCAUCCAUUUACUCCGAGUACAGUCCAAAUAAAAUUUGACUAUGAAUAAAUACCAAAUACAUGUUU